GACGAACGCUGGCGGCGUGCUUAACACAUGCAAGUCGAACGGAAAGGCCCUGCCUUUGUGGGGUGCUCGAGUGGCGAACGGGUGAGUAACACGUGAGUAACCUGCCCUUGACUUUGGGAUAACUUCAGGAAACUGGGGCUAAUACCGGAUAGGAGCUCCUGCUGCAUGGUGGGGGUUGGAAAGUUUCGGCGGUGGGGGAAGGACUCGGCGUUUAUCAGCUUGUUGGUGGGGUAGUGGCUUACCAAGGCUUUGACGGGUACCCGGCCUGAGAGGGUGACCGGCCACAUUGGGACUGAUAUACGGUACAGACUCCUGCGGGAGGCAGCAGUGGGGAAUAUUGCACAAUGGGCGGAAGCCUGAUGCAGCAGCGCCGCGUGCGGGAUGACGGCCUUCGGUUUGUAAACCGCUUUCGCCUGUGACGAAGCGUGAGUGACGGUAAUGGGUAAAGAAGCACCGGCUAACUACGUG
RNAcentral lists this ribosomal RNA (468 nucleotides) under uncultured bacterium. RNAcentral's name for it is "partial 16S ribosomal RNA". It matches the Rfam family "Bacterial small subunit ribosomal RNA", at positions 28 to 507 of the family's 1533-position model. The record is from RNAcentral.